RNAcentral lists this ribosomal RNA (497 nucleotides) under uncultured bacterium. Its description in RNAcentral is "partial 16S ribosomal RNA". It matches the Rfam family "Bacterial small subunit ribosomal RNA", at positions 28 to 507 of the family's 1533-position model. The record is from RNAcentral.
GAUGAACGCUGGCGGCGUGCCUAAUACAUGCAAGUCGAGCGAACAGAUGAGGAGCUUGCUCCUCUGACGUUAGCGGCGGACGGGUGAGUAACACGUGGAUAACCUACCUAUAAGACUGGGAUAACUUCGGGAAACCGGAGCUAAUACCGGAUAAUAUAUUGAACCGCAUGGUUCAAUAGUGAAAGACGGUUUUGCUGUCACUUAUAGAUGGAUCCGCGCCGCAUUAGCUAGUUGGUAAGGUAACGGCUUAACAAGGCAACGAUGCGUAGCCGACCUGAGAGGGUGAUCGGCCACCCUGGAACUGAGACACGGUCCAGACUCCUACGGGAGGCAGCAGUAGGGAAUCUUCCGCAAUGGGCGAAAGCCUGACGGAGCAACGCCGCGUAAGUGAUGAAGGUCUUCGGAUCGUAAAACUCUGUUAUUAGGGAAGAACAAAUGUGUAAGUAACUAUGCACGUCUUGACGGUACCUAAUCAGAAAGCCACGGCUAACUACGUG